CCUACGGGAGGCAGCAGUGAGGAAUAUUGGUCAAUGGACGCAAGUCUGAACCAGCCAUGCCGCGUGCAGGAAGAAGGCUCUAUGAGUUGUAAACUGCUUUUGUACGAGGGUAAACGGAGACACGUGUAUCUGUCUGAAAGUAUCGUAAGAAUAAGGCACGGCUAACUCCGUGCCAGCAGCCGCGGUAAUACGGAGGAUUCAAGCGUUAUCCGGAUUUAUUGGGUGUAAAGGGUGCGUAGGCGGUCGGAUAAGUUAGAGGUGAAAUCCCGGGGCUCAACCUCGGGAUUGCCUCUGAUACUGUUCGGCUAGAGAGUAGGUGCGGUAGGCGGAAUGUAGGGUGUAGCGGUGAAAUGCUUAGAGAU
This 362-nucleotide ribosomal RNA is filed under the name uncultured bacterium. RNAcentral's name for it is "partial 16S ribosomal RNA". It matches the Rfam family "Bacterial small subunit ribosomal RNA", at positions 338 to 697 of the family's 1533-position model. The record is from RNAcentral.